CCUGCAGUUACUCUAAACUUCACAUAAACGGAAAAAAAAAAAAAAAAGUAAAGCUAAUCAGCCUGCAGUUGCUUUGCUUGUAAAAAGGCAUCAAUGAUGGUUGUAGGGGUUGUAACACCCAUCAUAACCCUAAUAAGCCGAUUCAAUCCUGCAAUAAAACGGGACACAUAGUACUCUUCCUGUAUAUCGGGAUAAGCAGAAACCACAGCGGCCAUAGCCUCCUCAAACUCUUCUAGGUAUUGUUCAACAGUCAUAUCUCCGGUCUGUUUAACACUGGCAAAUUUGUCCAUUACGUCCAUGGAUUCAGAACGAAACCGGCGACAUAUGUCCACACAGAACUUCUCCCACGUCACACCAACCGACCCUCGUUGUUCUGAAACGUAACAUGCAUACUAGCAUUCAGCUCUUCCCUUAAUGUUGAGCGAAACAUACCCCAUUUUCUGAUGAUCUGGAAUCUGACAGAGUUCGAAGAAGCUGUUGCAUCGCCUUAUCCAGAAGUUGAGGUUUCGAAGGUCAAAUUCUGGAAAUUUUAGGGAAGCAUGCAUGAUGGAGGUGACUUGGUGGUUGUGGUCUUUUUCAAGCUUUUCGAGCCGUUUCAUGUUGUCGGCAACAAAAGACUGAAGCUGCAACUCCAUUCGCUUAAGGCUCUCUUCCAUGCUCAUGGGUUUUUUGUACAGAUUCGCCAUGGCAGAUUUUUGGAAAAGAUAAAGCUCAAUUGAGGGUUUUGAUUGUGAAUAAUCGUACGGGGUAUUUGUAGUGUAUG
RNAcentral lists this long non-coding RNA (763 nucleotides) under Capsicum annuum. Its description in RNAcentral is "long non-coding RNA (CANN_LNC012971)". The record is from RNAcentral. Lineage: Eukaryota; Viridiplantae; Streptophyta; Magnoliopsida; Solanales; Solanaceae.